UGUUUCUGUUUUGUUUUUUCGCCUCGCAGGCCAAUCCAAAACAAAUUACACUUUCGUGUUGAGCCUUUUGAACCAAAAUUAUAUCUUCGUUAGUUUUUGUGAAUUUUAAUAGCUAACAGCACGAUUAUUUUUACAAUUUCUGUUUUAAAUCGAGUGUUUCUGCAUUCCAAAGGGAAAGUGCGUGAUAUUUGGAUGACUAAAAUGGCCAACAAACUCGGAUGAUUGUGGCCAGUAGGUGCUCCAAGAAUAAGGAUGAGGACCUCUGUGCAAGAAAUAUCGUGGUACGAUGCCUAUGGCGGUGAUUCAUGCAUUCCGUUAUCGGGGAAGUAAGGACCAAGCCGCCAACAUAGAUGCCGCCAAAUCCGUCGAACCUGUAUGUUGGCUAUGGGUCAAUGGCACUAAUGGUUUGAACCGCUACAACCCGAAAGAAACGGAACGAGAUAGGGGCAUGAAAUAGCAAACCGGAGAAAUGGAUUUAUCUAAUAAAUUUAUGUAGGCAAA
Molecule: long non-coding RNA, 501 nt
Organism: Culex quinquefasciatus (southern house mosquito)
Lineage: Eukaryota; Metazoa; Arthropoda; Insecta; Diptera; Culicidae
Exons: 2
Source: RefSeq, a predicted model, not a curated record